Molecule: ribosomal RNA, 434 nt
Filed under: uncultured bacterium
Lineage: Bacteria
Description: partial 16S ribosomal RNA
Rfam family: Bacterial small subunit ribosomal RNA
Source: RNAcentral
AGCGAACGCUGGCGGCAGGCCUAACACAUGCAAGUCGAACGAACCUUUCGGGGUUAGUGGCGGAUGGGUGAGUAACACGUGGGAACGUGCCUUUAGGUUCGGAAUAACUCAGGGAAACUUGUGCUAAUACCGAAUGUGCCCUUCGGGGGAAAGAUUUAUCGCCUUUAGAGCGGCCGGCGUCUGAUUAGCUAGUUGGUUGAGGUAAUGGCUCACCAAGGCGACGAUCAGUAGCUGGUCUGAGAGGAUGAUCAGCCACAUUGGGACUGAGACACGGCCCAAACUCCUACGGGAGGCAGCAGUGGGGAAUCUUGCGCAAUGGGCGAAAGCCUGACGCAGCCAUGACGCGUGAAUGAUGAAGGUCUUAGGAUUGUAAAAUUCUUUCACCGGGGACGGUAAUGACGGUACCCGGAGAAGAAGCCCCGGCUAACUUCGUG